AUACGUAGGGGGCGAGCGUUGUCCGGAAUGAUUGGGCGUAAAGGGCGUGUAGGCGGCCUGUUAAGUCUGAAGUGAAAGUCCUGUUUUCAAGAUGGGAAUUGCUUUGGAUACUGGCGGGCGUUAGUGUGGGAGAGGGUAUCGGUAUUCUCCGUGUAGCGGGGGAAAGCGUAGAGAUCGGGAGGAACACCAGUGGCGAAGGCGGGUAACUGGACUGCAACUGACGCUGAGGCGCGAAAGUGUGGGGAGCAAACAGGAUUAGAUACCCUGGUAGUCCACACUGUAAACGAUGAAUGCUAGGUGUAGGGGGUAUCGACCCCUUCUGUGCCGCAGUAAACACAAUAAGCAUUCCGCCUGGGGAGUACGGCCGCAAGGUUGAAACUCAAAUGAAUUGACGGGG
Molecule: ribosomal RNA, 397 nt
Filed under: uncultured bacterium
Lineage: Bacteria
Description: partial 16S ribosomal RNA
Rfam family: Bacterial small subunit ribosomal RNA
Source: RNAcentral